RNAcentral lists this ribosomal RNA (427 nucleotides) under uncultured bacterium. RNAcentral describes it as "bacterial SSU rRNA". It matches the Rfam family "Bacterial small subunit ribosomal RNA", at positions 355 to 774 of the family's 1533-position model. The record is from RNAcentral.
UGGGGAAUAUUGGACAAUGGGGGCAACCCUGAUCCAGCGAUGCCGCGUGUGUGAAGAAGGCCUGCGGGUUGUAAAGCACUUUCAGUAGGGAAGAAAAGCCUGGGGCUAAUACCUCCGGGUCUUGACGUUACCUAAAGAAGAAGCACCGGCUAACUCCGUGCCAGCAGCCGCGGUAAUACGGAGGGUGCGAGCGUUAAUCGGAAUUACUGGGCGUAAAGCGCACGUAGGCGGUCUGGUAAGUCGGAUGUGAAAGCCCCGGGCUUAACCUGGGAAUUGCAUUCGAUACUGCCUGACUGGAGUAUGGGAGAGGGAAGCGGAAUUUCCGGUGUAGCGGUGAAAUGCGUAGAUAUCGGAAGGAACAUCAAUGGCGAAGGCAGCUUCCUGGCCCAAUACUGACGCUGAGGUGCGAAAGCGUGGGGAUCAAACA